GAUGAAGAACGUAGCGAAAUGCGAUACGUAAUGUGAAUUGCAGAAUUCAGUGAAUCAUCGAGUCUUUGAACGCACAUUGCGCCCCCUGGUAUUCCGGGGGGCAUGCCUGUCCGAGCGUCAUUGCUGCCCUCAAGCACGGCUUGUGUGUUGGGCCUCCGUCCUCCUCCCGGGGGACGGGCCCGAAAGGCAGCGGCGGCACCGCGUCCGGUCCUCGAGCGUAUGGGAGCUUUGUCACCCGCUCGAUUAGGGCCCGGUCGGCGCCAGCCGUCAACCCCAAUUUUUAUUCAGGUUGACCUCGGAUCAGGUAGGGAUACCCGCUGAACUUAAGCAUAUCAAUAAGCGGAGGA
RNAcentral lists this unclassified non-coding RNA (347 nucleotides) under soil metagenome. Its description in RNAcentral is "partial contains 5.8S ribosomal RNA, internal transcribed spacer 2, and large subunit ribosomal RNA". The stretch from base 1 to 120 matches the Rfam family "5.8S ribosomal RNA", at positions 35 to 154 of the family's 154-position model. The record is from RNAcentral.